UCGGUGGGCCACAGCGUGCGG
RNAcentral lists this unclassified non-coding RNA (21 nucleotides) under Chlamydomonas reinhardtii. RNAcentral describes it as "small RNA Cre_2730". Lineage: Eukaryota; Viridiplantae; Chlorophyta; Chlorophyceae; Chlamydomonadales; Chlamydomonadaceae. The record is from RNAcentral.